RNAcentral lists this ribosomal RNA (397 nucleotides) under uncultured bacterium. Its description in RNAcentral is "partial 16S ribosomal RNA". It matches the Rfam family "Bacterial small subunit ribosomal RNA", at positions 523 to 918 of the family's 1533-position model. The record is from RNAcentral.
AUACGUAGGGGGCGAGCGUUGUCCGGAAUGAUUGGGCGUAAAGGGCGCGUAGGCGGCCUGUUAAGUCUGGAGUGAAAGUCCUGUUUUCAAGAUGGGAAUUGCUUUGGAUACUGAUGGGCUUGAGUGCAGGAGAGGUUAUCGGAAUUCCCGGUGUAGCGGUGAAAUGCGUAGAGAUCGGGAGGAACACCAGUGGCGAAGGCGGGUAACUGGACUGCAACUGACGCUGAGGCGCGAAAGUGUGGCGAGCAAACAGGAUUAGAUACCCUGGUAGUCCACACUGUAAACGAUGAAUGCUAGGUGUAAGAGGUAUCGACCCCUUUUGUGCCGGAGUUAACACAAUAAGCAUUCCGCCUGGGGAGUACGGCCGCAAGGUUGAAACUCAAAGGAAUUGACGGGG